This 2166-nucleotide long non-coding RNA is filed under the name Bemisia tabaci. RNAcentral's name for it is "lncRNA ENSSWEETPG009363". Lineage: Eukaryota; Metazoa; Arthropoda; Insecta; Hemiptera; Aleyrodidae. The record is from RNAcentral.
AUGAAACAGUGCCACUUUCAAAGAACGAAAGAAAGAAAGAAAGAAAAAAAAGGAAUAUCAUUGACUAAAAAAACCAAACCAAGAAACAAAGUUAUGAUCAAAAUGAAGAAAAAAAAAAGUGUUUCUGUCAGUGUAUCAGUAGACUUAUUAGACACCAUAUCUGUAGGGAACGAAAAUGUCAGCUGAUAGAUCAGUUGCUAGACUAGUUGGUAAAUAAUGGAACAGGUCAUCAUGAUGCACAAAGAAAUAUUCCUUUAGAUGCUCUACUUGAUAGGCAUGUACAUGGGAAUUAAAAAAUAAAGUUGGCAAUUUUUGGCAUAUGAAGCCCACCUUAUUUUUUUCGCUGCUGAAGGCAAUGGCCUCAAUUAGACCGAAAACAGGAUCAAUAUCAUUAUUGUGAACAACAAGGACCAUUUUUGGAUUGUACCUGGUUCCACUGAUUUCAGCCCAUGCAACAAAUUCAUAAGAAUCAACAAAAUUGGCAGGAAGAUCUAAACAUGGAACAGGCAAGUCAUCUGCGUGAAUUUCAGUGCUAGAUCCUAUUUCAAGUCUGUCUUUCAGAACAUCCCCCGAUUGUAGGUAGGAAUGCAGCAAUAACUGAUUUCGAGUUAGGACAGUUUUUGGAAGAUUUCUUCGCGAGGCAACACUUACUGCCACUUGCUUCCCCCGCUGAUGAAAGGCUUCAUAUCUCAUUGCACUAUAUUUUAUGGGAGGCCCGUAUUUUAAUAUUAAGUUAGGGUAAUGCAGCAAAUGGUGAUGCUUAUUACGCAAACGUUUUUCUUCGCUAAAUUGGAUAUAGAGUGAGUGAUGUUCUUCAAUUAAACUUUGUAAAUUUUCCAAACUUUCAAGAUGUAUGCGUGGUGAAAAUAAAAUAUCCAUAAUUUUCCUUAAAAGAACAUACAUCUUCCAUACUGGAUCAUUUUCUGGGAAGAAACGACCCAUUAUGAUUCCAAAGAAUACAGUGAAGUUAAGCAUUUCUGCAGCUGACAUUUUGAUAGAUGGCUGUUGAUUAGUACCAACUAUUGGGGGAGGUUUAUUUUUCAUUACACCGUAGUUUUGAUCUCUAAUUAUCCGAUUUAAAUAAGGAAGACUAGUAUAGCCAUGUCUCAUGGAAAUUUCAGAAUUAAUUCUAAAGUGAAAGUGGCAACACCUGACUCGAGGAAGUCAUGCAUCAAAUCAGGAGGAACAUUUUCUAUAACAUGAAAGUAAGGAAGCUCAUUCCACAGUGAAUUCUCAUUUAUACCGGUCUCAGAAGGAUUGUUUUUUUCAAUAUCAGUGCGGUAAUUUUCAAUAGUUCUUAAUUCAUAUUGAGUAAGGUCGAGUUUCUUUGAAAUCAGCAAUUUCUCACGAGGAAUGCGACAAUACCUACAAGGAAAAUUAGCUGUAAAACACUCAAUGAAACCACAUAUUUGAUGAACCCCAAGGUUGUCUCCUAGUAUUAAACCCAGGACAAAUUUAAUUUUCCCUUUAAAAUUUGGAGUGUCAAUGCUAAUUCCUUCUUCGCCUAAAAAUUUAAAUUCUUCUACAACAGACCGAUACAGAAUACUAUUUGGAACUACUUUCCUGUCUUCAGCAUGGUAAAUGGCAAGCAAAAACAUAUUAUUCAGCAUGGAAUUAAACUCAAGAGGUAACACUGGUAUUGAUACGUAAUUUCCACAAAGUUUAUGAACACCUUUAUGUGACCCUAAAACAUUCCCACACUCAUAGUCAUCCGCAUAAAAAAAAAGUGGCCAAAUCAAAGUGUCAUCUUGAGCAGUCGCAAUUUUCCCUAUAGUACUUCGCCAAAGUGUUCCAUGUACAAAGUCAGUCAUGAAGCCAUCUGUUUCAGAGACAACCCUCCGUAAGUGAUUAUUAAUUCUGUCAAUGACGCCUGGCUGCUGCAAAAACUGCCUGAGAACUAACCUCAGUGGAACAAAUUGAAGAGAGCGAUCUGCCAGUUCUAGAAAAUGUUGAGAGUCUUUGCUCCUUUGUGGGAUGAGCUCUGAGUAGAGAGACUUUGGCACGGGUGGAAUGUAUGUUGCUUGAGACUCAAAAAAUUUUAGUCGCUGAUAUUCAGUCAUUAAAUCUUGGAAAGGAUUUUUGAGAAUCAAGCAGUAAUUCUUAAAAUUCUUAUUCUUUUCAUCAAUGGAUAAAUUUUGAUCACGGAUUAAAUAAGAUACUUUCUCU